AGCUUAACCGUAUAGGGUAGGCGUAGCGAAAGCGAGUCUUAAUAGGGCGUUUAGUCGCUGGGUAUAGACCCGAAACCGGGCGAUCUAUCCAUGAGCAGGUUGAAGGUUAGGUAACACUGACUGGAGGACCGAACCCACUCCCGUUGAAAAGGUAGGGGAUGACUUGUGGAUCGGAGUGAAAGGCUAAUCAAGCUCGGAGAUAGCUGGUUCUCCUCGAAAGCUAUUUAGGUAGCGCCUCAUGUAUCACUCUGGGGGGUAGAGCACUGUUUCGGCUAGGGGGUCAUCCCGACUUACCAAACCGAUGCAAACUCCGAAUACCCAGAAGUGCCGAGCAUGGGAGAC
RNAcentral lists this ribosomal RNA (342 nucleotides) under Pseudomonas aeruginosa. RNAcentral describes it as "partial 23S ribosomal RNA". It matches the Rfam family "Bacterial large subunit ribosomal RNA", at positions 643 to 985 of the family's 2925-position model. Lineage: Bacteria; Pseudomonadati; Pseudomonadota; Gammaproteobacteria; Pseudomonadales; Pseudomonadaceae. The record is from RNAcentral.